Long non-coding RNA from Acomys russatus (golden spiny mouse), 592 nucleotides. RefSeq lists it as uncharacterized. The transcript is spliced from 3 exons. Lineage: Eukaryota; Metazoa; Chordata; Mammalia; Rodentia; Muridae. The record is from RefSeq and is a predicted model, not a curated record.
GGCUCAGUACAUGCUGCAAGGACUCAGUGUGGCCUGCCAGAGAUGACUGAUGUAUUUCCUUGUGUCUGCUUAUACACGCAUAGGGGCUGCACUUUCAAUUAACUCACACAGUCUGGGGAUGAACUGGAAAAUAAAAUGGUAAAAAUCAAGCCCCAAGAGGGUUUUACAGCCUUUCACAAUGUAGAUAAAAACUAGGUGUUUAUUUUCUAAUUCAUCAUAGGUGGAAGAAAAGUGUCACAUGAAGAGGAAAGGAAAAGAAACCGAUGAGAAGAUCCGAGGCUCUGUCAGACCGAUGGAAAUAAGACUGACUGUAACCAUGUUCGGCUGCUGACAGUGUGAAAUUGAGUUGUACGCUGGACAGAAGACAAGCAGUCAAGAGAAAUCCCCAAAGCUUCUCAAAAGCAGAGAUUUUCCUUUUGAGAUAAUGAAAAUCCAAUUCCCACAUUCGGAACAAUGUACGGUUUUUGGAGAAAACAUGAUUGGCUCCUUGUACCAUCAAGGCAUAUAUGAUCAGCCUGGGUGUUUCAUCAUCGCCCUCUUCCUGCUCACGUGGCUGUGCAGCAUUCAGGUAUGUGUCUGUUAAUCUCUGUGU